Molecule: long non-coding RNA, 181 nt
Organism: Ornithodoros turicata
Lineage: Eukaryota; Metazoa; Arthropoda; Arachnida; Ixodida; Argasidae
Exons: 4
Source: RefSeq, a predicted model, not a curated record
GCGAGUUGCGGCCUACAAACGCCACUUCAAGACGUCAUAGGCGGUAGACAGCUUCAUCUGAUGAAAGAUGGAAGUCACUGAAAAGCCUCAGAACAUCAGUUCUCUCAGCUUCAUCUGCUUCGGUGGAAAGCAAAGGACUGGCCGUGUCGCAGCACUACUCAAUUCUGCACGUAUCCCGAAG